This 238-nucleotide ribosomal RNA is filed under the name uncultured bacterium. Its description in RNAcentral is "partial 16S ribosomal RNA". It matches the Rfam family "Bacterial small subunit ribosomal RNA", at positions 524 to 762 of the family's 1533-position model. The record is from RNAcentral.
UACGGAGGGGGUUAGCGUUGUUCGGAAUUACUGGGCGUAAAGCGCACGUAGGCGGAUUAUUAAGUUAGAGGUGAAAUCCCAGGGCUCAACCUGGAACUGCCUUUAAUACUGGUAGUCUUGAGUUCGAGAGAGGUGAGUGGAAUUCCGAGUGUAGAGGUGAAAUUCGUAGAUAUUCGGAGGAACACCAGUGGCGAAGGCGGCUCACUGGCUCGAUACUGACGCUGAGGUGCGAAAGCGU